CUGAAUAAACUUGGUGGGUUGUAGCUGACUCCUUAGGGGGUAUGUGCACACUCAUCAUAUUUAUCUAUCCACCUGUGCACAUUUUGUAGUCUCGAGGGGUAAAUGUGAAGCAGACUUGUUACUUACAAGUUUGUGGUAUCAUUCCUUUGAGUCUAUGUGUCUUUAUAAACUACAUAACCUGUCGCAGAAUGUAAUUUAUUGGGCCUCUGAGCCUAUAAAAACUUUAUA
This 228-nucleotide unclassified non-coding RNA is filed under the name uncultured Agaricaceae. Its description in RNAcentral is "sequence contains ITS1". Lineage: Eukaryota; Fungi; Basidiomycota; Agaricomycetes; Agaricales; Agaricaceae. The record is from RNAcentral.